GUUGGCUGCGGGCGAGGGGCGGGGGAAAUAGGAGGGGUGCAGGCGUUAGCCGGAGUUAUUGGGUUGAAAGGGUCCGUAGGAGGAUCUAUAAGUCAGUGGUGAAAUUUCAAAGCUUAACUGUGAAACUGACGUUGAUACUGUAGGUCUUGAGUAAAGUUGAAGUGGCUGGAAUAAGUAGUGGAGCGGUGAAAUACAUAGAUAUUACUUAGAACACCAAUUGCGAAGGCAGGUCACUAAGAUUUAACUGACGCUGAGGGACGAAAGCGUGGGGAGCGAACAGGAUUAGAUACCCGGGUAGUC
This 300-nucleotide ribosomal RNA is filed under the name uncultured Thermotoga sp. RNAcentral's name for it is "bacterial SSU rRNA". It matches the Rfam family "Bacterial small subunit ribosomal RNA", at positions 496 to 795 of the family's 1533-position model. The record is from RNAcentral. Lineage: Bacteria; Thermotogati; Thermotogota; Thermotogae; Thermotogales; Thermotogaceae.